RNAcentral lists this ribosomal RNA (497 nucleotides) under uncultured bacterium. RNAcentral's name for it is "partial 16S ribosomal RNA". It matches the Rfam family "Bacterial small subunit ribosomal RNA", at positions 28 to 507 of the family's 1533-position model. The record is from RNAcentral.
GAUGAACGCUGGCGGCGUGCCUAAUACAUGCAAGUCGAGCGAACGGACGAGAAGCUUGCUUCUCUGAUGUUAGCGGCGGACGGGUGAGUAACACGUGGAUAACCUACCUAUAAGACUGGGAUAACUUCGGGAAACCGGAGCUAAUACCGGAUAAUAUUUUGAACCGCAUGGUUCAAAAGUGAAAGACGGUCUUGCUGUCACUUAUAGAUGGAUCCGCGCUGCAUUAGCUAGUUGGUAAGGUAACGGCUUACCAAGGCAACGAUGCAUAGCCGACCUGAGAGGGUGAUCGGCCACACUGGAACGGAGACACGGUCCAGACUCCUACGGGAGGCAGCAGUAGGGAAUCUUACGCAAUGGGCGAAAGCCUGACGGAGCAACGCCGCGUGAGUGAUGAAGGUCUUCGGAUCGUAAAACUCUGUUAUUAGGGAAGAACAUAUGUGUAAGUAACUGUGCACAUCUUGACGGUACCUAAUCAGAAAGCCACGGCUAACUACGUG